This 336-nucleotide small nuclear RNA is filed under the name Octodon degus (degu). Its description in RNAcentral is "7SK RNA (ENSODEG00000024528.1)". The stretch from base 1 to 296 matches the Rfam family "7SK RNA". Rfam says of the family: 7SK was discovered as an abundant small nuclear RNA in the mid-70s but a possible function has only recently been suggested. Two independent studies have found that 7SK RNA binds the CDK9/cyclin T complex (known as elongation factor P-TEFb). The record is from RNAcentral. Lineage: Eukaryota; Metazoa; Chordata; Mammalia; Rodentia; Octodontidae.
GGAUGUGAGGGCGAUCUGGCUGCGGCAUCUGUCACCCCAUUGAUCGCCAGGGUUGAUUCGGCUGAUAUGGCUGGCUAGGCAGGUGUCCCCUUCCUCCCUCAACGAUCCAUGUGCAUCCCUCCUGAAGCUGCGCGCUUGGUCGAAGAGGAUGACCACCCCCGAUAGAGGAGGACUGUUCCUUGGUCAAGGGUAUACGAGUAGCCGCGCUCCCCUGCUAGAACCUCCAAACAAGCUCUCAAGGUCCAUAAUCUUAUUUAAUCUUCAGAAUAACUUAUUUUAGAGAUGGUAAAUAUAGUAUUUGGAAGUCAGAGAACACCUCUGUGGAGAAAAUGACAC